GUGUCUUUGUCCUCAUACUUGUACUUUCCAGUCAGCAGCCCUCCAGCCAGUGGAUUGUAGGCAUAGAACCGCAGCCCGUAGUAUCUCAGGCAAGGGAACAGCUCCAGUUCUACCUGGCGGGUGGUUGCGUUGUACAUGCCCUGGUACACAGUUGGCAUCAGCCAGUUGUUGCAUUUGCAGAUGGUGCAGAUUUCUGCCACCUCCCACGCUGCGUAGUUCGACAGGCCGAGUUCUUUAAACUUUCCCUCCUUGUGCAGCUCAUUGCAGGCACGCAGUGUCUCUUCCACCGGUGUCCCGUGGUCAGGGGCGUGGAGGUAGAAGAGUUCAACGCUCGUCCUCUGCAGCCUCUCCAGGGAUGUGUUCAGCUGUGACCGCACACUGUCCGGCUUCAGAGUGUUCCCUUCCCAGGGGUUGGCCUUGGUGGCCACUUCCACUGGCAAAGGGGAAGGAGGAAUGAGCAGCGAUGCUCCCAACCCCGGAUGGGGAUGGGGCACAGUGUGCUCAGGGCGCUUUCAAAGUAUGCUCUUCUCA
This 531-nucleotide long non-coding RNA is filed under the name Gallus gallus (chicken). The record is from RNAcentral. Lineage: Eukaryota; Metazoa; Chordata; Aves; Galliformes; Phasianidae.